GCUCGACCUCAAAUCAGGUAGGAAUACCCGCUGAACUU
This 38-nucleotide ribosomal RNA is filed under the name Pichia kudriavzevii. RNAcentral describes it as "partial 28S ribosomal RNA". Lineage: Eukaryota; Fungi; Ascomycota; Pichiomycetes; Pichiales; Pichiaceae. The record is from RNAcentral.